GAUUGAUAAAGCAAAGGGAAUCAAAUGGUCAAAAAGGAUACAGUUUUUACUUUUCGAAUGACAGAGAAGGCACCAUGAGUAUUAUAAUGCUUCAUGCGACGACCUGUGUUGUUCUGCUUACAGUGGCUUGGGGACUACCAUUUGUCUCUCAAGACGAAGAUAAUGAAUUUUUAGGACUUAAGAGGCUACCUUACCCAGCCAAUUGGCAUGCAGUUACAGUGUCUGAACAGGUACUGACCUUUUCUAACAUCUUUAAAACCUAUAUUUAUUACUCAAUUUCCAAUUCACCUUUUCCCUGGGGGAACUUAUGCUGGCCUAAAACCUUGUGAUGAAGAUUUGACCAGAGGAAAAAUGACUCAUCUAAAGUAACGCAGACUGAGUGGGGUUUGAAACACAACACCAUAUUUCCAUUCACAAUCAAAGAUUUUACUUGAGAUAAUAACAUGAUGAUUUAAAAAAAGAUUCAUUAUAAGGAGUUUGGAUCUACUUGAUUUUUCUCUUCAACGAAUCAUUCAGAAAUAUCAAAAUUAUAAUCCUUUUAGGAAGAAUUGGAAAAACAUUUCAGAACUAUCAGUCUGAGGAUCAUGGUUUAUAACCAUAACUCAACUGGGAUGGGCCUGGUACCAAGGAAUUUAGUGCUAAAUUCUGAUGUUUUUGUUUAAAUAGUUAAUGCUUUUCGUGUGUAAGAGCGACUUCUCCAGUCUUAAGCUGUGCAAAUAACAACAACAACAACAACAACAACAACAAUAAUAAUUAACAACAACAGUAACAGUAACAACAACUUUCAGUAAUUGAGUAGGAAAUGACACAAAUGGAUUUCUAGCUAAGAAAUCAGAAAUUCAGAAUAUUGUGCAAUCUAAUUUUGGGAAUGUGAAGUCUAAUUGUUUUUGUUUUUGUUUUUUAAAUACAAUGAAGAGUAAUUUGUUAUCCUUCUCACCCCUGUAAUUUUUUAUUUGUUUCUCAAUGGCAUCUUACAUUAAGAAAUAGUCCCCCCCCCCCCCCCCCCCCCCCCCCCCCACAAUACAGCAAUUAUAGAAAUAUCUUUCUGGGGAUGAAAUAUUAAGAAGCAUGUUACCCAGAACGAAAAGUAGAGUUAGCCUCUCCUGCCCCAGAGUGGAACAAAUGAAUUAAAAGUACAUGGAAGUAGAAUCAGAGUAGAAGUCAGGAGAAAGUUCCUGAUUGUAUGAGUUGUCAACCAGAAGAAAAUAUCGUCACAUUUGCUUUUCAUGGAGACAGACAUGUAAUGGCCAUUGAUCAGAAAUGCUAUAUUUAUUCAUUCAAUUCAAUAUUGUAGGGAAUUUUCCUGAGCAUGGAGGUCAGAGUAGAAAU
RNAcentral lists this long non-coding RNA (1329 nucleotides) under Notechis scutatus (mainland tiger snake). RNAcentral's name for it is "lncRNA (ENSNSUG00000015959.1)". Lineage: Eukaryota; Metazoa; Chordata; Lepidosauria; Squamata; Elapidae. The record is from RNAcentral.